RNAcentral lists this ribosomal RNA (825 nucleotides) under Devriesia staurophora. RNAcentral describes it as "eukaryotic LSU rRNA". It matches the Rfam family "Eukaryotic large subunit ribosomal RNA", at positions 63 to 922 of the family's 3401-position model. The record is from RNAcentral. Lineage: Eukaryota; Fungi; Ascomycota; Dothideomycetes; Mycosphaerellales; Teratosphaeriaceae.
AACCAACAGGGAUUGCCCUAGUAACGGCGAGUGAAGCGGCAACAGCUCAAAUUUGAAAUCUGGCGCAAGCCCGAGUUGUAAUUUGUAGAGGAUGCUUCUAGGUUGCGGCCGGUCUAAGUUCCUUGGAACAGGACGUCACAGAGGGUGAGAAUCCCGUAUGUGACCGGCUUGCACCUUCUACGUAGCUCCUUCGACGAGUCGAGUUGUUUGGGAAUGCAGCUCUAAAUGGGAGGUAAAUGUCUUCUAAAGCUAAAUACCGGCCAGAGACCGAUAGCGCACAAGUAGAGUGAUCGAAAGAUGAAAAGCACUUUGGAAAGAGAGUUAAAAAGCACGUGAAAUUGUUGAAAGGGAAGCGCAUGCAACCAGACUUGUCGGCGGUGUUCCGCCGGUCUUCUGACCGGUCUACUCGCCGCCGACAGGCCAGCAUCGUCUGGGGGCGCCGGAGAAAGGUGCCAGGAAUGUAGCUCCUCGGAGUGUUAUAGCCUGGCACACAAUACGGUGACUCCCGGGCGAGGUCCGCGCUUCGGCUAGGAUGCUGGCGUAAUGGUUGCCUGCGACCCGUCUUGAAACACGGACCAAGGAGUCGACCAUCUGUGCGAGUGUUCGGGUGUUAAACCCCUACGCGUAAUGAAAGUGAACGGAGGUGGGAACGCAAGUGCACCAUCGACCGAUCCUGAUGUCCUCGGAUGGAUUUGAGUAAGAGCAUAGCUGGUCGGACCCGAAAGAUGGUGAACUAUGCCUGAAUAGGGUGAAGCCAGAGGAAACUCUGGUGGAGGCUCGCAGCGGUUCUGACGUGCAAAUCGAUCGUCAAAUUUGGGUAUAGGG